CUGCGCCUGUGGGAAGACCCUUUCUGGCCUGGAACCUGCCAUGGGACUCAGGCUCCUCUGUGGUGUGGCCUUUUGUUUCCUGGGAGUAGGUCUCAUGGAUGCCAAAGUAACCCAAACUGCAAGACAUCUGGUCAAGAGAAGGGGAGAGAAAGUUGUGUUGGAAUGUUCCCAGGAUAUGGGGCACGACAGAAUGUUCUGGUAUCGACAAGACCCAGGUCUGGGGCUGCGGCUGCUCCAUUAUUCAUACAGGGUUGACAAUACUGAGAAAGGAGAUUUCCCUGAUGGGUACAGUGUCUCCAGGAAGCAGAAGGAGAGCUUCUCCCUGAUCCUGGAGUCGGCCACGCCCUCCCAGACAUCUGUGUACUUCUGCGCCAGCAGUGAACCCACACUCCCCUAUGACUAUACCUUCGGGCCAGGGACCAGGCUGACGGUCGUAGAGAACCUGAAAAAGGUGAAGCCACCCCGGGUCACCGUGUUUGAACCAUCGGAAGCAGAGAUCGCCCGCACCCAGAAGGCCACGCUCGUGUGCCUGGCCACGGGCUUCUACCCCAACCACGUGGAGCUGAGCUGGUGGGUGAAUGGCAAGGAGGUCCAGAGUGGGGUCAGCACCGACCCCCAGCCCUACAAGGAGCACUCCGACCUCAAUGACUCCAGCUACUGCCUGAGCAGCCGGCUGAGGGUCUCGGCCCCCUUCUGGAGCAACCCCCGCAACUACUUCAGCUGCCAAGUCCAGUUCUACGGGCUGGGAGAGGACGACGCUUGGGAGGAGAAGGACGGUCCCAAGCCCACCACCCAGAACAUCAGCGCUGGGGCCUGGGGCAGAGCAGAUUGUGGUGUCACCUCAGCGUCCUAUAAGCAAGGGGUCCUGUCUGCCACCCUCGUGUAUGAGAUCCUGCUGGGGAAGGCCACUGUGUAUGCAGUGCUGGUCAGCGCCCUGGUGCUGAUGGCCAUGGUCAACAGAAAGGAUUCCUGAUGCCAGCUCAGAGGCAGAGCCACGAACUUCCAGCCUGCUACCACCCCAGUGUGGAUUCCCCUUUUCCCAUUCCCAGCCAGUGCUUCUGAAGAGCCGUUCUCGUCUCUCAGCUCAUCCCCACGUACCUGCACAGCGGGGUGCUCGUGACUGCAAUCUCCCUGACCCCAGGGGCGCCCCGGUGGGCCUGAAUGGCCUGAACCAAUAAAAAUGGCCUGUUCUCGCUUGA
Molecule: non-coding RNA, 1199 nt
Organism: Phyllostomus hastatus (greater spear-nosed bat)
Lineage: Eukaryota; Metazoa; Chordata; Mammalia; Chiroptera; Phyllostomidae
Source: the annotation of a RefSeq genome assembly